RNAcentral lists this signal recognition particle RNA (264 nucleotides) under Actinomycetes bacterium. Its description in RNAcentral is "signal recognition particle sRNA large type". It matches the Rfam family "Bacterial large signal recognition particle RNA". From Rfam's summary of the family: The signal recognition particle (SRP) is a universally conserved ribonucleoprotein involved in the co-translational targeting of proteins to membranes. Lineage: Bacteria; Bacillati; Actinomycetota; Actinomycetes. The record is from RNAcentral.
CCGUGCUAGGUGGGGAGCCAGCGGUGCCCUGUACCCGCAAUCCGCUUCAGCGGGGCUGAAUCCCCACCCGAGGAGCGGGCCUGUGAGGUCUGACGCCGGUGUGUGGUGUUGACGGCCAGGUCCUGCGCAAUGGAAAUCCGUGAACCGGGUCAGGACCGGGAGGUAGCAGCCCUAAGCGGACUCUUCCAUGUGCCGCGGGGUGGCUUGGCCUGAGCCGGCUGCCGGCGGGCGCUUGGAGGUCCGUCUUCGAAGGUGGGUGCACGG